GAUGAACGCUGGCGGCGUGCCUAAUACAUGCAAGUCGAGCGAACAGACGAGGAGCUUGCUCCUCUGACGUUAGCGGCGGACGGGUGAGUAACACGUGGAUAACCUACCUAUAAGACUGGGAUAACUUCGGGAAACCGGAGCUAAUACCGGAUAAUAUAUUGAACCGCAUGGUUCAAUAGUGAAAGACGGUUUUGCUGUCACUUAUAGAUGGAUCCGCGCCGCAUUAGCUAGUUGGUAAGGUAACGGCUUACCAAGGCAACGAUACGUAGCCGACCUGAGAGGGUGAUAGGCCACACUGGAACUGAGACACGGUCCAGACUCCUACGGGAGGCAGCAGUAGGGAAUCUUACGCAAUGGGCGAAAGCCUGACGGAGCAACGCCGCGUGAGUGAUGAAGGUCUUCGGAUCGUAAAACUCUGUUAUUAGGGAAGAACAAACGUGUAAGUAACUGUGCACGUCUUGACGGUACCUAAUCAGAAAGCCACGGCUAACUACGUG
RNAcentral lists this ribosomal RNA (497 nucleotides) under uncultured bacterium. RNAcentral's name for it is "partial 16S ribosomal RNA". It matches the Rfam family "Bacterial small subunit ribosomal RNA", at positions 28 to 507 of the family's 1533-position model. The record is from RNAcentral.